This is a long non-coding RNA of Syzygium oleosum, 940 nucleotides long. RefSeq lists it as uncharacterized. The transcript is spliced from 2 exons. Lineage: Eukaryota; Viridiplantae; Streptophyta; Magnoliopsida; Myrtales; Myrtaceae. The record is from RefSeq and is a predicted model, not a curated record.
GACUGAUAUAGAACAUGUACGUGACUCAUCCGAUCAAACUCACUUUAAGAUGAAGAAAGCACGCAAUUUUUGCCUUGGAAUCGAUCGUGGUCAGGUUGCCAUCUUCGUCUCGAUCGACACCAACUCUAAAUACGCUCGAAUCUCAUCCUAUUCGGUGCCACAUCAAUCCACACGACUCAGACGUUGGCAUGAAUUUCCUAGGUCAUGUCGGGCCAUCGCCAUUUCAGAAAUUCGUCAGAAGUCAAAAAGGGUUUGGGGGGAAGAGAUCAGCGAAGGUGGUCGCGCACGACGACGACGACAAACGACACCGGCGGGCCGUGCACGUCGUCUUCUGCGGGGGGGGAGGUGAGGUGAUGGAUCGACUGUUCAUCAGACAAUGAAGAAGGCGACGAGCAUCGACCAUGUGACGACGAAAAGCUCUCCCAAAGGAAGGAAAAGCGCGCCUGCCUUUUCUAAAAAGAGGCUGUGCCCAUCUCCCGAACGCGUUUUUUCUCCUUUUGUGCUCCUUGCUGGGGUUUUUCCCACUUCAAUGCGAAUCGUUUCCAGCUAUCUUCUACCCCCCAAGUCCAACUUGCUUUGAUAAGAGUCCGAAGGGGCAGAGAUUCUCCAAAAGCAACGACUUCCACACACUCCUUUCCCAUCUGAAUAUGACAACUCGUUCUUUUGGAGAAGAAUUCCACUCUCUGCACCACAAAAGUGUGUAGAGCCUUCCAUUCGUUUUUCAUUUUUCCCUCCCUUGAGAUGCACGAGUCUGAGUGAUCGGACCUGGGUGGAUCUAUUGCCCAAAACAUGGUUCGGGCUCUGGCGAGCCAAGCAAGAAGCCAAUCGCAUGAUGAAGUCUACUUGACAUCUUGUUGCAAGUAUCUGUUGUCGAGUGAAUUUCGAUGUAGUUAAUUAAUUCUACUAAGCACAGAAGUUAGAUAACUGCUAUUGGAAUUUC